UGUCUGUCUAUAACUAAAAAAAGUAAAUAUUAAAAAAAAGAGGGGGGGCGCUGGAGUUGUGGCUCAGAGAUAGAGUACUUGCUUAGUAUGUGCGAGGCCCUGGGUUCGAUCCUCAGCACCAAAUAAAAGUAAAUAAAAUAAAGGUAUUAUGUCCACCUACAACUAAAAAACAAAUAUUUUUUUUAAAAAAAAGGACUGAGGAUGUAGCUCAGUGAUAAAGCACCCCUGGGUUUAAUCCUCAGUAACACACACACACACACACACACACACAAAAUGGGUCUUAUUUAUCAUACUGUGUUCCUAGUACCUAGUACCUAUACCAUGAUUAUGUGUGUGUGUUUUUUGUUUGUUUGUUUUUUUGUAGUAGUUUUGGUACCACGGAUUGAACCCAGGGGUGCUUAACUGCUGUGCCACAUCCCUAGCCCUUUUAUUUUUUAAAAUAUAUUUUAUUUAUAGACAAGUUCUAGUUGAGUUACUUAGGGCCUCACUAAGUUGCUGAGGCUGGUUUUGAACUCACUAUCCUCCUGCCUCGGCCUCCCAAGCUACUGGGAUUAUAGGCAGGCCCCACUGCGCCCAACGAUUAUGUUUGUUUAUUUUAUUUUGUUGCAGAGCUAGGGAUCAGACUCAGAGCCACAUACAUAUUAAGCAAGUACUCUACUACCAAAUUGCAUCCCCAGCCCAUUUUUAAAUUUUAAUUUGAGACAAUCUUGCUAAAUUGCCCAGGCUGGCCUCAAACUUGGCGAUCUUCCUGCUUUAACCUCCCAAGAAACUGGAAUUACAGACAUGGGCCACUACGCCCUGCUACUAGGAAAGACUUCUUGAAGAAGAUGAGCCUCUAAUGGUUAUGGAGGUCAAAGGAAC
Molecule: long non-coding RNA, 861 nt
Filed under: Marmota monax (woodchuck)
Lineage: Eukaryota; Metazoa; Chordata; Mammalia; Rodentia; Sciuridae
Source: RNAcentral